This 434-nucleotide ribosomal RNA is filed under the name uncultured Lachnospiraceae bacterium. Its description in RNAcentral is "partial 16S ribosomal RNA". It matches the Rfam family "Bacterial small subunit ribosomal RNA", at positions 341 to 792 of the family's 1533-position model. Lineage: Bacteria; Bacillati; Bacillota; Clostridia; Lachnospirales; Lachnospiraceae. The record is from RNAcentral.
ACGGAAGGCAGCAGUGGGGAAUAUUGGACAAUGGGGGAAACCCUGAUCCAGCGACGCCGCGUGAGUGAAGAAGUAUUUCGGUAUGUAAAGCUCUAUCAGCAAGGAAGAAAAUGAAGGUACUUGACUAAGAAGCUCCGGCUAAAUACGUGCCAGCAGCCGCGGUAAUACGUAUGGAGCAAGCGUUAUCCGGAUUUACUGGGUGUAAAGGGAGCGUAGACGGCAAAGCAAGUCUGAAGUGAAAUCCCGGGGCUCAACCCCGGAACUGCUUUGGAAACUGUUUAGCUAGAGUGCAGGAGAGGUAAGCGGAAUUCCUAGUGUAGCGGUGAAAUGCGUAUAUAUUAGGAGGAACACCAGUGGCGAAGGCGGCUUACUGGACUGUAACUGACGUUGAGGCUCGAAAGCGUGGGGAGCAAACAGGAUUAGAUACCCUGGUA